This 241-nucleotide ribosomal RNA is filed under the name uncultured bacterium. RNAcentral describes it as "partial 16S ribosomal RNA". It matches the Rfam family "Bacterial small subunit ribosomal RNA", at positions 116 to 353 of the family's 1533-position model. The record is from RNAcentral.
CGUGGGUAACCUGCCUUAUAGUGGGGGAUAGCCUUUCGAAAGGAAGAUUAAUACCGCAUAAGAUUGUAGUAUCGCAUGAUAUAGCAAUUAAAGGAGCAAUUCGCUAUAAGAUGGACCCGCGUCGCAUUAGCUGGUUGGUGAGGUAAUGGCUCACCAAGGCGACGAUGCGUAGCCGACCUGAGAGGGUGAUCGGCCACAUUGGGACUGAGACACGGCCCAGACUCCUACGGGAGGCAGCAUG